Molecule: long non-coding RNA, 867 nt
Organism: Patiria miniata (bat star)
Lineage: Eukaryota; Metazoa; Echinodermata; Asteroidea; Valvatida; Asterinidae
Exons: 3
Source: RefSeq, a predicted model, not a curated record
GAACUUACAGUCGUGCUGUAUUGAAACUGAAUGGCAGAAUCAAUAUAGGCCUAAUUCAGGCCAGGAUAUCGACGAUAGCAUCACACCAGUUUACCUGAGCCCCUAUUUGUAUUUGAGCGUUCCAGUUGCAUUGAUCCUUGUCGGCCUAAUUGUUGGUAUUGCGUCUAAAGUCGUUCGUUGUAAAACCUGUGCUGCCAACACGAACUCAACAAUAGCUACAACAUGUACCGUUUUAGAAGUCACAGGGCCCACCUGUACUCAUGGUCCGUACCAACUGAUCGACAACCCACCUAGCUACCCCGUUACACCCUCAACUAGGUUGGGCCGUCCGCAGUAGGAGUAUAAUGCAAGCAAAUGAUUUGCUUAAAAGGCUGGUAUUUCAACGCUAGGCCUACAUAUCUUAAGCCUCUUGGCAAAUACUGAACUGAAAUUAUAUUAAAUCAAGACAGCUAGAAACAUUGCUUUAGGAAAAAUAGUGCAUUCGUCUGUUUUGAUGGAAUAAGUUCAGGUAUGUUUUUAAAAAAAUAGACUCAGACAAACGCAAUGUACACGCAUGUGUAUUAUAGUAAUGGUUUACACGGUAAAGUUGAUGAUUUUAGGAUGCACUCGACCUCACCUGAGAUUUCAUAUGAACAGUUUAUUUCAAAACGCGAUAUUUAUCCAUUUGAAAAUGAAGGUGGGACAUUUGCACUGUUAUUAAACUUUGAAGAAUAACAACAAUAGAACCACUGAUUCUUAGGCCCCCCAAAAAGUCUCCGGUUUCUUGUUGGAGCGUGCCCAAAAAUGGUGCGGCGACGAGGCUUUUUAUUUUUUUACCUGUUUUUUUUUGCUUCAAAUGUAGGCUGAUGACUGCAAAUGUUGCCUGAC